GACGAACGCUGGCGGCGUGCUUAACACAUGCAAGUCGAACGGAAAGUCCCUGCUUUUGUGGGGUGCUCGAGUGGCGAACGUGUGAGUAACACGUGAGUAACCUGCCCUUUACUUUGGGAUAACUUCAGGAAACUGGGGCUAAUACCGGAUAGGAGCUCCUGCUGCAUGGUGUUGGUUGGUAAGUUUCGGCGGUUGGGGAUGGACUCGCGGCUUAUCAGCUUGUUUGUUGGGUAGUGGCUUACCAAGGCUUUGACGGGUAGCCGGCCUGAGAGGGUGACCGGCAAAAUUGGGACUGAGAUACGGAACAGAAUGAAACGGGAGGCAGCAGUGGGGAAUAUUGCAGAAUGGGAGGAAGCCUGAUGAAGAAAAGCAGCGUGCGGGAUGACGGGAUACGGGGUGAAAAAAGAUGUAGAAUGUGAAGAAGAGGGAGUGACGGUAAUGGGUAAAGAAGCAACGGCUAACUACGUG
This 468-nucleotide ribosomal RNA is filed under the name uncultured bacterium. RNAcentral describes it as "partial 16S ribosomal RNA". It matches the Rfam family "Bacterial small subunit ribosomal RNA", at positions 28 to 507 of the family's 1533-position model. The record is from RNAcentral.